UACGUCGGGUGCCCGCUUUCCUCUUCCUUCCUUUUCUUCCCUCUUUCUCCUUCUUUUUUUUAAUCCAUAUUUUAAAUCCCCGGGCUUAACCUGGGAAUGGCAUUUGGGACUGCAAGGCUUGAGUUUGGCAGAGGAGACUGGAAUUCCUGGUGUAGCAGUGAAAUGCGCAGAUAUCAGGAGGAACACCAAUGGCGAAGGCAGCUCGCUGGGACGUGACUGACGCUGAGACGCGAAAGCGUGGGGAGCAAACAGG
This 253-nucleotide ribosomal RNA is filed under the name uncultured bacterium. RNAcentral describes it as "partial 16S ribosomal RNA". The stretch from base 48 to 253 matches the Rfam family "Bacterial small subunit ribosomal RNA", at positions 567 to 776 of the family's 1533-position model. The record is from RNAcentral.